This 465-nucleotide ribosomal RNA is filed under the name Enoploctenus sp. RNAcentral describes it as "partial large subunit ribosomal RNA". The record is from RNAcentral. Lineage: Eukaryota; Metazoa; Arthropoda; Arachnida; Araneae; Ctenidae.
CUCGCCUGGUUUUUAAAAACAUUUCUAUUAAAUAUAAUUAGUAGUAAAAUCUGCUCAAUGAAAAUUAAAUAGCCGCAUUCGUGCUAAGGUAGUACAAUAAUUAGUCUUUUAAUUAAAGACCAAACAAAAGAUCUAACUUUUAAAUUAACAUUUUAACAUAAAUAUUAAAAUUAUUUUAAUUGUAAAAAAACAAUUAUAAAUAAAGAAGACGAUAAGACCCUAUUGAACUUAACUUAAGUUUAACUGGGGAAGUUAAUAAAUUAUUAUUUUUAUUUGUUUAAAAACAAAAACGAUCUAAUAUAAUUAAUUUAAUAAUCAAGUUACCAUAGGGAUAACAGCGUAAUAAAAUUUUAAAGACCUUAUUCAAAAUAAAGUUUACGACCUCGAUGUUGAAUUAAUUAACUAAUCCACGCAAUAGUAGAUUAAGUAAGUCUGUUCGACUUUUAAAUAAUUACAUGAUCUGAG